RNAcentral lists this ribosomal RNA (771 nucleotides) under uncultured bacterium. Its description in RNAcentral is "bacterial SSU rRNA". It matches the Rfam family "Bacterial small subunit ribosomal RNA", at positions 8 to 796 of the family's 1533-position model. The record is from RNAcentral.
AGAGUUUGAUCCUGGCUCAGGACGAACGCUGGCGGCGUGCUUAACACAUGCAAGUCGAACGGAAAGGCCCUUCGGGGUACUCGAGUGGCGAACGGGUGAGUAACACGUGGGUGAUCUGCCCUGCACUUUGGGAUAAGCCUGGGAAACUGGGUCUAAUACCGGAUAGGACUACGCGAUGCAUGUCGUGUGGUGGAAAGCUUUUGCGGUGUGGGAUGGGCCCGCGGCCUAUCAGCUUGUUGGUGGGGUGAUGGCCUACCAAGGCGACGACGGGUAGCCGGCCUGAGAGGGUGACCGGCCACACUGGGACUGAGAUACGGCCCAGACUCCUACGGGAGGCAGCAGUGGGGAAUAUUGCACAAUGGGCGCAAGCCUGAUGCAGCGACGCCGCGUGAGGGAUGACGGCCUUCGGGUUGUAAACCUCUUUCAGUGCCGACGAAGCGCAAGUGACGGUAGGCAUAGAAGAAGGACCGGCCAACUACGUGCCAGCAGCCGCGGUAAUACGUAGGGUCCGAGCGUUGUCCGGAAUUACUGGGCGUAAAGAGCUCGUAGGUGGUUUGUCGCGUUGUUCGUGAAAACUCACAGCUUAACUGUGGGCGUGCGGGCGAUACGGGCAGACUUGAGUACUGCAGGGGAGACUGGAAUUCCUGGUGUAGCGGUGGAAUGCGCAGAUAUCAGGAGGAACACCGGUGGCGAAGGCGGGUCUCUGGGCAGUAACUGACGCUGAGGAGCGAAAGCGUGGGGAGCGAACAGGAUUAGAUACCCUGGUAGUCC